Molecule: long non-coding RNA, 221 nt
Filed under: Mytilus galloprovincialis (Mediterranean mussel)
Lineage: Eukaryota; Metazoa; Mollusca; Bivalvia; Mytilida; Mytilidae
Source: RNAcentral
CAAAAUUACAAUUUGUAUUAUAAAACCAAACAGUUCAAGUGUUUGAGUUUGGUCUGUAUAUAAGACUGAUAACUGUAAACGAAGGUGAAGGGCUGCACGUUAUACGUAUUCAAUACAUAAAAUCAAUUUGCACAAAUCAUCAUCAAAACAUGUUUGUUUUUUUAUCUUUUAGUUUCUUGAAUAAUAUGCUACACCAUUCUUCAAUUGCUUUUUUGUCCGCC